Long non-coding RNA from Olea europaea var. sylvestris, 2162 nucleotides. RefSeq lists it as uncharacterized. NCBI's taxonomy places the organism in Eukaryota, Viridiplantae, Streptophyta, Magnoliopsida, Lamiales, Oleaceae. The record is from RefSeq and is a predicted model, not a curated record. The transcript is spliced from 2 exons.
AGAGCAUUUUUAGGUGAAGUAUUAUGAAAAAAUUUAGAUGUUGGUGUGAAAAAUGAAGUUUUCAGCUAACGUUGACAAGAAACAUGUUUUGUAAAGGGAAGAGCGAUUUUCAAAAUUUUCCAUAUUCUACAGACUUGCUAUCCCUUUUAAAAUACGUUAGACACAAAAAAGAGGUUAAGAGAGUCAAGAAUGUCCGAGAGGGUCAAAAAUCGGAGUAAUGGAAGAUUUUCCCCAGUUGAUCUCCCGUACGAUCGCAUGGGCUACUCACCCACGCGGUCGCGUAGGUGAUCCAUAUUGGACCGGGGACCUUUGGUCCCUUCCAUGCAACCGCAAAGUUGUGAUGAUUGGGAUAAUUUAACCCUCAACCGACCACUUAAACGCAUUAUCCAAAACCUCCCCAAUUUGAAACCUUAGGGAAUAUCUUUCCCAGAUACUCAAUUUCUUCCCAAAUGUUUCCUUCAGUUUGUCCAAAUUUCACGAGGGACAUUAAUAUUCGUAUCGUUCAUGCUUCAAUUCACAAUGAAUCACCAUUGUGAAACAUAUAUAUUCAAGAAUAUCAAGGAUGCCACUAAGAGGAGCAUAAAAGGAACGGGGAAAGGUGGCCUCCUCAUCGACCAUAGCACUGACUCAUGUUGAUAAAGUGAGAUGAGGAUAUUCUUUACUCUAGAGCAUUGAGCUCAAUUCAAGUAGGUCAUAUGCUGAUAGGCUGUCUUGCCCGAAUGACAAGUAAUUAUAGGAGAUUUUGAGGGCAAGACAUUUAAACGUUGAUAUAGAGAUCCAGUUGGCAGAAGGUCAUCGACACAUCUCAUCCCAUAUACAAGACUUUAAUGCAGGAGUUAUGUGCAGAUUUCAACAGGGAAAUUGAUGUGCCAGGCUCUAAACAUGCAUACCAGACAUGGGUCAGAGAUAAAUGGAUCAUGCUCACGCCUGAGGUAACAGAUCAUUUUAUGGGAUGAUUAGGGACAAUAUUAUGCAUUACUCUUGGUAGACAACUAGCUUGAGUUAGCACAACCGAAUGGCAUUCUAACGAACUGACCAAGUCUAUUGCCACCAGAUUGAUCCCACCUCUCAUCGGAACACUUUCAACAAUGCAAAGGCGAGGUUUCUAAUUUGGUUCGAGAGAUGAAGGUUGACUUGGGGCACAUAUAUUUACAAUCUAAUCUUGGGGUUAGUGAUAUUGGCGGACCGUCAUCACACAUUUAUCUUCUCAAGCCUCAUUAGUAGAAUCUGCAAAGUAUCAGGUGUGAGACUCUUACAAGAGACCACCUACAACUGAGAGCCCUCUGAUUGAUCAUAAGACUAUAGAGGCGUUGGCAUGAUCUAGGCAAGAAUACAGAAAGCGUGAGCAAUAACGACAACAACAGCAGGUUGUAGAUGGCCAAGGGGCUGAUAAUGUUGACAUGCCUCUUGUUUCACCACUUGAGCCUUUCGUUGACACAUAGUUGUUUCGCUAGUUGUUAAAAACCUCAACAGGUACUAGUUGGGUUAUUCAGGCUAUGUAACAUGCAUUUAUAGACAUGGAGUUGGGUGUAUGGACUACGCGUACUGAUAUUUAGGUGACUCGACAUGAUAUGGUCUAGACUCAGGAGGAUGUGGCCAGAUAUUAUAAGGAGAUUGAUCUUCUUAUUGAACAGGCAAAUUGUUAUGUGGCACGGGUUGACGAAAUACAGCUACGGUAGACGAGACAUAUGAUAUAGUUCUUGGCAUGCAAGUCAAGAUGGGAACAAUAGUCUCCUAUGAUUAGGGAGAUAUUCUCGCACGUCUAUCUCCACCAUCAGCUUCAGAUCCAUUAGGCUCUACGACUUUUCUACUGUUUCCACCACCACCACUAGACUGAUCAGGGGAGUUCUCCGUAUCCCUCUUCACUCUUGAUUAUGCAUUUUAUUUUCUUACUCUUGUACAUUGAGGGUAAUGCACGUGUUAAGUUUGGGAGUGGCUGAAUAUUCUGACUUAUCAUCGAUUGUAUAUGGUUUACUGCUUUAGUGUGAUUGUCAAGUGUAAGAAAAAUUCGAAAAUAGAAGAAAAUCACAAAAAUAUUUUCUUUUAGGCUUUUUAUUACUUUUGUGCGUUUUUGUGGGCUAGAUGACCUUGCCGAUAAUGAUGUAUAUAUUGGAAUUAUGCGUUAGACAUAAGAAUUAUGGAAAUAUUACAUUUUGAGUUGA